This 304-nucleotide ribosomal RNA is filed under the name uncultured bacterium. Its description in RNAcentral is "partial 16S ribosomal RNA". It matches the Rfam family "Bacterial small subunit ribosomal RNA", at positions 506 to 807 of the family's 1533-position model. The record is from RNAcentral.
CAGCAGCAGCCACGGUAAUACGGAGGGGGCUAGCGUUGUUCGGAAUUACUGGGCGUAAAGCGCACGUAGGCGGCUUUGUAAGUUAGAGGUGAAAGCCUGGAGCUCAACUCCAGAAUUGCCUUUAAGACUGCAUCGCUUGAAUCGCGGAGAGGUGAGUGGAAUUCCGAGUGUAGAGGUGAAAUUCGUAGAUAUUCGGAAGAACACCAGUGGCGAAGGCAGCUCGCUGGCCUGUAACUGACGCUGAGACGCGAAAGCGUGGGGAGCAAACAGGAUUAGAUACCCGAGUAGUCCCUGUCUCUUAUAC